Molecule: transfer RNA, 71 nt
Filed under: Candidatus Aenigmatarchaeota archaeon
Lineage: Archaea; Nanobdellati; Candidatus Aenigmatarchaeota
Description: tRNA-Gly
Rfam family: tRNA
About the family: Transfer RNA (tRNA) molecules are approximately 80 nucleotides in length. Their secondary structure includes four short double-helical elements and three loops (D, anti-codon, and T loops).
Source: RNAcentral
GCACCAAUAGUCUAACGGUAUGACGUCAGCUUCCCAAGCUGAUGGUCCGGGUUCGAUUCCCGGUUGGUGCA